CCAAAAAAAAAACCUAGCGCUGCCCCAAUAUUCCUUCUCUCUCCAUGCCAAAAAUGGUAAUAGCGUAGAGACCUCAGGCUUUUUGUAGUCCUUGCAUAGCUAUUUUCAUACAAUAAUUAAUGUUUCAACAUUGUUUUCGCUCAAAUUCGUCCAAACACGUCUUGAGAUUGGAAGCACAAGGCUUCAAGAUCCAUUCUUGACACAGGCUGCACCAACAAAAGGUGGAAGUGCUGUGGUUUGAGUUGGUACUGAGAUCUAUUAGACGACAAGAGGUUCAGACAGAUGAGUCUAAGACACUCGCCAUAGGAUGUUCCCGGGCUAUCAGCUGGAUUGGUGAACUCUAUUUCUAUUCGGAGUAUUGCCGAGUCGGAGUACAUAUGUAUAUAUAUGUGUCAUAUGCAUUAUGGGUACGUCGGGGACCUGUCUCGACCUAUGUUAUGGUUUCUAGGUUCAUGUUAGAGACUUUGCAGAUAGUGUUUUGGGUAUGGUGUGUCGAGAUGUUGACAGUGUCUAUAGCAGUCAUGUAGAUCUGCACAUUCAUGUGUAUUCUUUACGAAGAGUUUUACUGAGUUUACGAUAAAUUGAUAGCAAGUAUGAAAUGAAUGGUUUAUGGGAUCACGUAAGGAUAAUAGAAAAGGAAUGAAUAACAUGGUGACACUCGGUCAGGCAGGACAUCGGGUGUCGAUCGCGGCCCUCCGGUUUGGGUCGUGACAUUUAAGGUCCAUCCACCCUUUGGUCCAAUAGGGAAAUUCUUUCAAAGAUUAUCGAGUCCGAGGAAAGAAAUGGAAUUUAAUAUUGUUAAAGACGCAAAGAAGGCCCAGCCAUGGACGAAACUGGCUAACUAGGGGCUUGGUACGCCCCUAGUCUUCCCUCUCUUGCAUUUUUAUUUUUGCUAGCUUUAAAAUGCAGUUUUAUUGUAUAUUUGUAUUUGUAUGAAGUUGUAAAAACACACAUAUUAUAUUGGAAUGUUUAAAUGUUUGAA
Lycium barbarum (goji berry) is the source of this 982-nucleotide long non-coding RNA. RefSeq lists it as uncharacterized. The transcript has 5 exons. NCBI's taxonomy places the organism in Eukaryota, Viridiplantae, Streptophyta, Magnoliopsida, Solanales, Solanaceae. The record is from RefSeq and is a predicted model, not a curated record.